Molecule: signal recognition particle RNA, 291 nt
Filed under: Microcebus murinus (gray mouse lemur)
Lineage: Eukaryota; Metazoa; Chordata; Mammalia; Primates; Cheirogaleidae
Description: Metazoan signal recognition particle RNA (ENSMICG00000027806.2)
Rfam family: Metazoan signal recognition particle RNA
About the family: The signal recognition particle (SRP) is a universally conserved ribonucleoprotein.
Source: Rfam by way of RNAcentral
GCUGGACACCGACCGUGAUGUGUGCCUGUAGUCCCAGCUACUGGGGAAGUUGAAACAGGAGGAUCGUUUGAGGCCAGGAGUUCUGGACUGUAGUGUGCUAUGCUAACUAGGUAUCUGCACUAAGUUCUGCAUCAAUAUAGUGAUUUCCUAGGAGCAGGGGACCACCAGGUUACCUAAGGAGGGGUGAACCAGGCCAUGGAGCAGGUCAAGACUCCCGUGGUGAUCAGUAGUAGGAUGAUACCUGGGAAUAGCCACUGUACUUCAGCUUAGAAAACUUAUAUAGGCUGUCCU